CUGACACAGGUGCUGCAUUGGCUGUCGUCAGCUCGUGUCGUGUAGAUGUUGGGUUAAGUCCCGUUAACGAGCGCAACCCUUGUCCUUAGUUACCAGCACGUUAUGGUGGGCACUCUAGGAAAAGCUGCCGGUGACAAACCGGAGGAAGGUGGGGAUGACGUCAAGUCAUCAUGGCCCUUACGGCCUGGGCUACACACGUGCUACAAUGGUCGGUACAAAGGGUUGCCAAGCCGCGAGGUGGAGCUAAUCCCAUAAAACCGAUCGUAGUCCGGAUCGCAGUCUGCAACUCGACUGCGUGAAGUCGGAAUCGCUAGUAAUCGUGAAUCAGAAUGUCACGGUGAAUACGUUCCCGGGCCUU
This 358-nucleotide ribosomal RNA is filed under the name uncultured Pseudomonas sp. RNAcentral describes it as "bacterial SSU rRNA". It matches the Rfam family "Bacterial small subunit ribosomal RNA", at positions 1029 to 1382 of the family's 1533-position model. Lineage: Bacteria; Pseudomonadati; Pseudomonadota; Gammaproteobacteria; Pseudomonadales; Pseudomonadaceae. The record is from RNAcentral.